This 109-nucleotide small nuclear RNA is filed under the name Sphaeramia orbicularis (orbiculate cardinalfish). RNAcentral describes it as "U5 spliceosomal RNA (ENSSORG00005019547.1)". It matches the Rfam family "U5 spliceosomal RNA". Rfam says of the family: U5 RNA is a component of both types of known spliceosome. The precise function of this molecule is unknown, though it is known that the 5' loop is required for splice site selection and p220 binding, and that both the 3' stem-loop and the Sm site are important for Sm protein binding and cap methylation. The record is from RNAcentral. Lineage: Eukaryota; Metazoa; Chordata; Actinopteri; Kurtiformes; Apogonidae.
ACACUCUUGUUUCUCUUCAGACUGUACAAAUCUUUUGCUUUUUACUAAAGAUUUCCGUGGAGAGGAACUAUAACAGUUUUACCCAAUUUUUUGAUGCCUUGCGAAAAAA